UGCGCAGGCGGGCUUGUAAGUCAGUGGUGAAAUACUGCCGCUUAACGGUAGAACUGCCAUUGAUACUGCGAGUCUUGAAUAUGGUUGAGGUAGGCGGAAUGUGUUGUGUAGCGGUGAAAUGCAUAGAUAUGACACAGAACGCCAAUUGCGAAGGCAGCUUACUAAGCCAUUAUUGACGCUGAGGCACGAAAGCGUGGGGAGCGAACAGGAUUAGAUACCUUGGUAGUCC
This 229-nucleotide ribosomal RNA is filed under the name uncultured bacterium. RNAcentral describes it as "partial 16S ribosomal RNA". It matches the Rfam family "Bacterial small subunit ribosomal RNA", at positions 568 to 796 of the family's 1533-position model. The record is from RNAcentral.